RNAcentral lists this ribosomal RNA (253 nucleotides) under uncultured bacterium. RNAcentral's name for it is "partial 16S ribosomal RNA". It matches the Rfam family "Bacterial small subunit ribosomal RNA", at positions 524 to 776 of the family's 1533-position model. The record is from RNAcentral.
UACGUAGGGUGCGAGCGUUAAUCGGAAUUACUGGGCGUAAAGCGUGCGCAGGCGGUUCGUUAAGUCAGAUGUGAAAGCCCCGGGCUCAACCUGGGAACUGCAUUUGAAACUGGUGGGCUUGAGUAUGGCAGAGGGGGGUGGAAUUCCGCGUGUAGCAGUGAAAUGCGUAGAGAUGUGGAGGAAUACCGAUGGCGAAGGCAGCCCCCUGGGAUAACACUGACGCUCAUGCACGAAAGCGUGGGGAGCAAACAGG